RNAcentral lists this long non-coding RNA (559 nucleotides) under Nicotiana benthamiana. RNAcentral describes it as "long non-coding RNA (NBEN_LNC032883)". The record is from RNAcentral. Lineage: Eukaryota; Viridiplantae; Streptophyta; Magnoliopsida; Solanales; Solanaceae.
UUUUUCAGCUUAAAAAACUCUGAAAAGCUUGCUUGUUUUUCUUCAUUUUUUUUAGAAAUUUCAGUAGUUCUUUAGUUCAAAAGCCAAAAAUAAAUACAAAAACAUUCAAAAAAAGAGGAAAAAAAAUGACUGUUUCAUUAGUUUGAAGUUGAUUUUCAGCUAAAGUUUCUGUGUAUUUGCUGUUUUGGUCUUCAACUUCAAGUUGACUUACUCAAUUUCAAGCAUCUGCUGGGUUAUAGUUAUUGCGUGGGUAUUUUUCGGGUUAUCUACUGGUUUUCAAAAUUUUCUGGGUCAAUUCUUGCAUCCGGAGGCUACUUUGGAUGUUUUCUUUGUUUCAUUCGAAUUUCAAGUGUCUACUGGAUCUCAUUGCUAUUAAUGCUGGGCUGGUCGUCAUUGAUUUUUGCUAUUAGCUGUGCAAACUGUUUCAUCUGCUGCUGACUAGCUGACCUCUCUAUUCUAUCUUGUGGUUUUACAUUUCCAGGUAUUUGCUGUAAAACUCAAUGCUAUGUAGAUCUUCUGCUGGAAAUGAAGUGAAAUCGAGGCUGAAUCUCUGUUGUUG